UUGUGCCGGUGCCUGGGGGAGUCCGGCCUUCGCAGAGCAGGUCGCGGGGUCAGAAACGGGGUGGGGCUUGGCUUUAGUAUUUGCCCUGGAGACCUAAUAUUUCCGCAGGUUUCGUGAAGGGACAGUCUCCUACGAGGAUAUUAGUAGCAGUGUUUUUUAAACUGGAAGAAAGUCAAGGAGAGGUAGGAGAUAAAUGCAGUAAGGAUGCUGAUACUCUUAAUGGAACUGAAAUCCAACAAGGUCUCUACCUGCAAGGGGACCCUCUGAAGAUCUCCAGAGCUCUCGCUGUGCAGCUCUUUUCUCUAUAGUACUCCACCCUUAAACUCUAACUACCUUGGCCUCGCUGGACUCCCAGCUGCAUCUUUUCAAUUCAGAGAGAUCACUGGACUAUAACUGGCUUCCCCUUCCCUCUUCUGCAGCCUUGAAACUCUCUCCAAGCAGUGAACUGGGGCAAUCUUGGGACUCAUUUGUUUCCGUCUCAGAGACUGCUGUCUUUUGUUGCCUGAUAGCCAAUGUUUUAAAAUCAUUGUUUCCUAUAUUUGUCUUUUUUUUUUUUUCAGUGUUUCAAGAGAUAAGGUAAAGUCUCUGUUAUUCCUCAUGCUUUCUUCCAAAUCUUUUGUUUUAUGCAUUUAUAUCUUUAAUCCAUCUGGAAUUUAUUUUUUUAUCGAGAGAAAUAUAGUUUUAAUAUUUUUUCCAAUGGUUAACCAGUUGCCCAAAAUCAUAUUUUGAAUUCUUCCCUUCCCUCCUCACCCAGUUGGAAAUGUCACCUUUAUCAUAAGCCAAACUUUCAUA
This is a long non-coding RNA of Eubalaena glacialis (North Atlantic right whale), 792 nucleotides long. RefSeq lists it as uncharacterized. The record is from RefSeq and is a predicted model, not a curated record. The transcript is spliced from 3 exons. NCBI's taxonomy places the organism in Eukaryota, Metazoa, Chordata, Mammalia, Artiodactyla, Balaenidae.